AUACGGAGGGGGUUAGCGUUGUUCGGAAUUACUGGGCGUAAAGCGCACGUAGGCGGACUGGAAAGUUGGGGGUGAAAUCCCGGGGCUCAACCCCGGAACUGCCUCCAAAACUUCCAAUCUAGAGAUCGAGAGAGGUGAGUGGAAUUCCAAGUGUAGAGGUGAAAUUCGUAGAUAUUUGGAGGAACACCAGUGGCGAAGGCGGCUCACUGGCUCGAUACUGACGCUGAGGUGCGAAAGCGUGGGAAGCAAACAGGAUUAGAAACCCUAGUAGUCC
RNAcentral lists this ribosomal RNA (274 nucleotides) under uncultured bacterium. Its description in RNAcentral is "partial 16S ribosomal RNA". It matches the Rfam family "Bacterial small subunit ribosomal RNA", at positions 523 to 796 of the family's 1533-position model. The record is from RNAcentral.